CCUACGGGGGACAGCAGUGGGGAAUAUUGGACAAUGGGGGGAACCCUGAUCCAGCGACGCCGCGUGAGUGAAGAAGUAUUUCGGUAUGUAAAGCUCUAUCAGCAGGGAAGAAAGAAAUGACGGUACCUGACUAAGAAGCCCUGGCUAACUACGUGCCAGCAGCCGCGGUAAUACGUAGGGGGCAAGCGUUAUCCGGAUUUACUGGGUGUAAAGGGAGCGUAGGCGGGGAUGCAAGUCUGAAGGGAAAGGGGGGGGCCCAACCCCCGUACUGCUAUGGAAACUGUAUGGCUUGAGUGCAGGAGAGGUAAGUGGAAUGCGUAGUGUAGCGGUGAAAUGCGUAGAUAUUA
RNAcentral lists this ribosomal RNA (347 nucleotides) under uncultured bacterium. RNAcentral describes it as "partial 16S ribosomal RNA". It matches the Rfam family "Bacterial small subunit ribosomal RNA", at positions 338 to 699 of the family's 1533-position model. The record is from RNAcentral.